UACGGAGGAUCCAAGCGUUAUCCGGAUUCAUUGGGUUUAAAGGGUGCGUAGGCGGAAUUGUAAGUCAGUGGUGAAAUCUCUUCGCUUAACGAAGAAACUGCCAUUGAUACUGCAAAUCUUGAGUACAUUUGAUGUGGGCGGAAUGUGUCAUGUAGCGGUGAAAUGCUUAGAUAUGACACAGAACACCGAUUGCGAAGGCAGCUCACAAAACUGUAACUGACGCUGAGGCACGAAAGCGUGGGUAUCAAACAGG
RNAcentral lists this ribosomal RNA (253 nucleotides) under uncultured bacterium. RNAcentral describes it as "partial 16S ribosomal RNA". It matches the Rfam family "Bacterial small subunit ribosomal RNA", at positions 524 to 776 of the family's 1533-position model. The record is from RNAcentral.